RNAcentral lists this ribosomal RNA (462 nucleotides) under Serratia marcescens. Its description in RNAcentral is "partial 23S ribosomal RNA". It matches the Rfam family "Bacterial large subunit ribosomal RNA", at positions 1769 to 2228 of the family's 2925-position model. Lineage: Bacteria; Pseudomonadati; Pseudomonadota; Gammaproteobacteria; Enterobacterales; Yersiniaceae. RNAcentral also lists the same sequence under 2 other names. The record is from RNAcentral.
GAAGCCAGUCGAAGAUACCAGCUGGCUGCAACUGUUUAAUAAAAACACAGCACUGUGCAAACACGAAAGUGGACGUAUACGGUGUGACGCCUGCCCGGUGCUGGAAGGUUAAUUGAUGGGGUCAGCCGCAAGGCGAAGCUCUUGAUCGAAGCCCCAGUAAACGGCGGCCGUAACUAUAACGGUCCUAAGGUAGCGAAAUUCCUUGUCGGGUAAGUUCCGACCUGCACGAAUGGCGUAAUGAUGGCCAGGCUGUCUCCACCCGAGACUCAGUGAAAUUGAACUCGCUGUGAAGAUGCAGUGUACCCGCGGCAAGACGGAAAGACCCCGUGAACCUUUACUAUAGCUUGACACUGAACAUUGAGCCUUGAUGUGUAGGAUAGGUGGGAGGCUUUGAAGCGUGGACGCCAGUCUGCGUGGAGCCAUCCUUGAAAUACCACCCUUUAAUGUUUGAUGUUCUAACUC